Molecule: ribosomal RNA, 465 nt
Filed under: Salmonella enterica subsp. enterica serovar Enteritidis
Lineage: Bacteria; Pseudomonadati; Pseudomonadota; Gammaproteobacteria; Enterobacterales; Enterobacteriaceae
Description: partial 23S ribosomal RNA
Rfam family: Bacterial large subunit ribosomal RNA
Source: RNAcentral
CAGGUUGAAGGUUGGGUAACACUAACUGGAGGACCGAACCGACUAAUGUUGAAAAAUUAGCGGAUGACCUGUGGCUGGGGGUGAAAGGCCAAUCAAACCGGGAGAUAGCUGGUUCUCCCCGAAAGCUAUUUAGGUAGCGCCUCGUGAAUUCAUCUCCGGGGGUAGAGCACUGUUUCGGCUAGGGGGCCAUCCCGGCUUACCAACCCGAUGCAAACUGCGAAUACCGGAGAAUGUUAUCACGGGAGACACACGGCGGGUGCUAACGUCCGUCGUGAAGAGGGAAACAACCCAGACCGCCAGCUAAGGUCCCAAAGUCAUGGUUAAGUGGGAAACGAUGUGGGAAGGCCCAGACAGCCAGGAUGUUGGCUUAGAAGCAGCCAUCAUUUAAAGAAAGCGUAAUAGCUCACUGGUCGAGUCGGCCUGCGCGGAAGAUGUAACGGGGCUAAACCAUGCACCGAAGCUGCG